RNAcentral lists this long non-coding RNA (1106 nucleotides) under Phasianus colchicus (ring-necked pheasant). RNAcentral's name for it is "lncRNA (ENSPCLG00000011281.1)". The record is from RNAcentral. Lineage: Eukaryota; Metazoa; Chordata; Aves; Galliformes; Phasianidae.
GAUUGGACUAGAUGAUCUUUCAAGGUUCCUUCCAAACCCUGAUGUUUGGUGAUUCUGUGAUUCUGUAACCAGUAUGGAGAAGAGACAGCAGCUAUUAAAAUGAAGACAUGGAAAAAAAAUACUCUUCAAUUCUUAGCCAGGAUUCUGGCAUUUAAUUUUUUAAAAUAAAUAAUACAUUAUUAAGCUCUUCUCUCUUCUCUUCUCUUCUCUUCUCUUCUCUUCUCUUCUCUUCUCUUCUCUUCUCUUCUCUUCUCUCUUCUCUCCUCUCCUCUUCUCUCCUCUCCUCUUCUCUUCUCUCCUCUCCUCUUCUCUCCUCUCCUCUUCUCUCCUCUCCUCUUCUCUCCUCCUUUCCUUCCCCUUUCCUCUCCUCUCCUCUCCUCCUUUCCUCUCCUUUCCUCUCCUCUUCUCCUUUCCUCUCCUCUUCUCCUUUCCUCUCCUCUUCUCCUUUCCUCUCCUCCUUUCCUCUCCUCUCCUCUCCUCUCCUCUUCUCCUUUCCUCUCCUCCUCCUUUUCAUUCCCUUCUCCUUCCCAUUUUCCUCCCGUGCGUAUUUCCCUCUCCCCUCCCUUCCCUUCCCCUCCCCUCCUCUUCUCUCCUCUCUUCUCCUCUUCUUUCCCUUUUCCUUCCCUUUUUCCUUCCCUUCUCCUUUCCCUCUCCCCUCCUCCGCCAUUUCCUUUCCUUCCCCUCCCCUCCCCUCCUCUCCAUCUCUUCUCUUUCCUUCUCUUCUCUUUCCUUCUCUUCUCUUUCCUUCUCUUCUCUUCUCUUUCCUUCUCUUCUCUUCUCUUCUCUUCUCUUCUCUUCUCUUCUCUUCUCUUCUCUUCUCUUCUCUUCUCUUCCCUUCUCGUCCCUUCCCUUCUCGUCCCUUCUCUUCCCUUCCCUUCCCUUCUCCUUUCCCUCUCCCCUCUCCCCUCUCCCCUCUCCCCUCUCCCCUCUCCUCUCCCCUCUUCCCUUUCCCCUCUCCUCUCCUCUCCUCUCCUCUCCUUUCUGUUUCUUUUCCUUUUUUCUCUUCCUUUCUGUUUCUUCUUUUCCUUUUUUCUUUUCCUUUCUGUUUCUUCUUUUCCUUUUUUCUCUUCCUUUAUUCACUCUUCCCUUCCCUUCUCUGCUCUUCU